Molecule: ribosomal RNA, 293 nt
Filed under: uncultured prokaryote
Description: partial 16S ribosomal RNA
Rfam family: Bacterial small subunit ribosomal RNA
Source: RNAcentral
GUGUCAGCCGCCGCCGGUAAUACGGAGGGUGCAAGCGUUAAUCGGAUUUACUGGGCGUAAGGCGCGCGUAGGCGGCUAAUUAAGUCAAAUGUGAAAUCCCCGAGCUUAACUUGGGAAUUGCAUUCGAUACUGGUUAGCUAGAGUGUGGGAGAGGAUGGUAGAAUUCCAGGUGUAGCGGUGAAAUGCGUAGAGAUCUGGAGGAAUACCGAUGGCGAAGGCAGCCAUCUGGCCUAACACUGACGCUGAGGUGCGAAAGCAUGGGGAGCAAACAGGAUUAGAUACCCCUGUAGUCC